AUGGUUCGUGCAAUGGGUGGCGGUGGCCUCGGCGCCAUGGGUGUCAUGGGUGGCUUCGGAGGUACCGUGGGCGGUUUAGGUGCAAUGGGAGGCAUGGCUGGCUUUGGAGCACCCCCCGACGCUAUGGCCACGAUGGGAGGCAUGAGUUUUGCUUCUCUCAUGGGAGGCAUGGGUGCACCUCCGGCCGCCAUGGGCGGAAUGUCUUUCGAUGAGCCUCCUCGCACACAUUCCCAUGAAGAUGCCGUUGAAGAUCUUGCCAACACCGUCGGAGCUUCACGUGAUGCGGUGCGCGAGAGGGAGGAAGAUUCAUCUUCGGAGGUGGAAGAAUCGUCUUCUGAAGAUGAGGACGAGGACGAAGACGAGGACGAGGACGAGGACGAGGAAUGA
RNAcentral lists this ribosomal RNA (387 nucleotides) under Triticum aestivum (bread wheat). RNAcentral describes it as "partial small subunit ribosomal RNA". Lineage: Eukaryota; Viridiplantae; Streptophyta; Magnoliopsida; Poales; Poaceae. The record is from RNAcentral.